Molecule: ribosomal RNA, 253 nt
Filed under: uncultured bacterium
Lineage: Bacteria
Description: partial 16S ribosomal RNA
Rfam family: Bacterial small subunit ribosomal RNA
Source: RNAcentral
GACGGAGGAGGCAAGCGUUGUCCGGAAUUAUUGGGCGUAAAGAGCUCGUAGGCGGUCUGUCGCGUCUGCUGUGAAAACUCAGGGCUUAACCCUGAGCUUGCAGUGGGUACGGGCAGACUAGAGUGCGGUAGGGGAGACUGGAAUUCCUGGUGUAGCGGUGAAAUGCGCAGAUAUCAGGAGGAACACCGGUGGCGAAGGCGGGUCUCUGGGCCGUAACUGACGCUGAGGAGCGAAAGCAUGGGGAGCGAACAGG